AUUGAACGCUGGCGGCAUGCCUUACACAUGCAAGUCGAACGGCAGCACGGGAGCAAUCCUGGUGGCGAGUGGCGAACGGGUGAGUAAUAUAUCGGAACGUGCCCAGUCGUGGGGAUAACGUAGCGAAAGCUACGCUAAUACCGCAUACGAUCUACGGAUGAAAGCGGGGGAUCGCAAGACCUCGCGCGAUUGGAGCGGCCGAUAUCAGAUUAGGUAGUUGGUGAGGUAAAGGCUCACCAAGCCGACGAUCUGUAGCUGGUCUGAGAGGACGACCAGCCACACUGGGACUGAGACACGGCCCAGACUCCUACGGGAGGCAGCAGUGGGGAAUUUUGGGACAAUGGGCGCAAGCCUGAUCCAGCAAUGCCGCGUGCAGGAUGAAGGCCUUCGG
This 391-nucleotide ribosomal RNA is filed under the name uncultured bacterium. Its description in RNAcentral is "bacterial SSU rRNA". It matches the Rfam family "Bacterial small subunit ribosomal RNA", at positions 30 to 421 of the family's 1533-position model. The record is from RNAcentral.